Pelobates cultripes (western spadefoot toad) is the source of this 164-nucleotide non-coding RNA. NCBI's taxonomy places the organism in Eukaryota, Metazoa, Chordata, Amphibia, Anura, Pelobatidae. The record is from the annotation of a GenBank genome assembly.
GCACUGCAGGACCCUGCAGUGCCUCCCUCCCUUCCUCCCUCCCUCCCUCCCUCGCCGGCUGAGUCAGCGUGGGAGGAGCAUGGGCGGAGCCUGACUCAGCGCUGAGGGACAUCGGAGGGAGGGAGGGAGGAAGGGAGGGAGGCACUGCAGGGUCCUGCAGUGCC